AUACGGAGGGUGCAAGCGUUGUUCGGAAUCAUUGGGCGUAAAGGGCGUGUAGGCGGUUCAUCAAGUUAGAUGUGAAAUCCCUGGGCUCAACCCAGGAAGUGCAUCUGAGACUGAUGAACUAGAGUACAGGAGAGGAAGGUGGAAUUCCUGGUGUAGGGGUGAAAUUCGUAGAUAUCGGGAAGAACACCGGUGGCGAAGGCGGCCUUCUGGCCUGAUACUGACGCUGAGACGCGAAAGCGUGGGGAGC
RNAcentral lists this ribosomal RNA (247 nucleotides) under uncultured bacterium. RNAcentral describes it as "partial 16S ribosomal RNA". It matches the Rfam family "Bacterial small subunit ribosomal RNA", at positions 523 to 769 of the family's 1533-position model. The record is from RNAcentral.